This 486-nucleotide ribosomal RNA is filed under the name uncultured organism. RNAcentral describes it as "bacterial SSU rRNA". It matches the Rfam family "Bacterial small subunit ribosomal RNA", at positions 29 to 507 of the family's 1533-position model. The record is from RNAcentral.
AUUGAACGCUGGCGGCGUGCCUAACACAUGCAAGUCGAGCGGUAGCAGGCGUAGCAAUACGUGCUGACGAGCGGCGAACGGGUGAGCAAUGCUUCGGAAUCUGCCCAAUGGUGGGGAAUAACUAGCCGAAAGGUUAGCUAAUACCGCAUACGCCCUCAGGGGGAAAGCAGGGGAUCGCAAGACCUUGCGCCGAUGGAUGAGCCGAAGUCGGAUUAGCUAGUUGGUAGGGUAACGGCCUACCAAGGCGACGAUCCGUAGCUGGUCUGAGAGGACGACCAGCCACACUGGGACUGAGACACGGCCCAGACUCCUACGGGAGGCAGCAGUGGGGAAUAUUGGACAAUGGGCGAAAGCCUGAUCCAGCGACGCCGCGUGUGUGAAGAAGGCCUGCGGGUUGUAAAGCACUUUUAGUGGGGAUGAAAAGCCUAGGGUUAAUACCCCUGGGUCUUGACCUAACCCACAGAAAAAGCACCGGCUAACUCUGUG